UACGAAGGGGGCUAGCGUUGCUCGGAAUCACUGGGCGUAAAGGGCGCGUAGGCGGACUCUUAAGUCGGGGGUGAAAGCCCAGGGCUCAACCCUGGAAUUGCCUUCGAUACUGGGAGUCUUGAGUUCGGAAGAGGUUGGUGGAACUGCGAGUGUAGAGGUGAAAUUCGUAGAUAUUCGCAAGAACACCAGUGGCGAAGGCGGCCAACUGGUCCGAUACUGACGCUGAGGCGCGAAAGCGUGGGGAGCAAACAGG
Molecule: ribosomal RNA, 253 nt
Filed under: uncultured bacterium
Lineage: Bacteria
Description: partial 16S ribosomal RNA
Rfam family: Bacterial small subunit ribosomal RNA
Source: RNAcentral